Molecule: long non-coding RNA, 11429 nt
Filed under: Sorghum bicolor (sorghum)
Lineage: Eukaryota; Viridiplantae; Streptophyta; Magnoliopsida; Poales; Poaceae
Description: long non-coding RNA (SBIC_LNC009209)
Source: RNAcentral
UAAAUAGACCGGCACGAAGGCACGGCACAGGCAGAGAUAUAAUAGAGACAGAUCAUGUAUUAAACGAGAUCGGAGAUGUAUGACAUGUAUAGACGACUAUGAUCAAGAAUCAUCAACAUACAAGGGUAUGAGAAAAGAACAAGGGUUUCGUCGACGUCGCGAAGGGCGUCGACUAAGUGCAAAAAGGUCGACCUUGACGAACGCGAGGAAGGUGGCGGAGGCCUCCUGCUGCCUGGAGCACGACACGGUGGCGGAGCGAGGCCAACGGACUGAGUAGCCUGGCUGUGACGUCACGGACGAUGAGAACGGAGCGAUGCGUCGUGGUUCCUGGUGACACGCCCCUGCGGCUUGACCAAAGGUGACAUGGGCCCCUGCGUUAGUGAAAGCAGUGGCGCGAAGGCCGACUGUUAACCAAGAACCACGGCAUGGUCUUCAGAAUGGAAUGGAAGGUAUGGCCUUGGUUGGGAGCUCACCGGCAGAGGAAUGGAGCCAUAGCGAGAUACUGGGUGCUCCUGCUGCUGUCCUUGGGUGCGAUGCAGGGGCUCGGCUUGCAGCGUCGAUGGAGACCGGGCACGGGCUCGAGGGCUCGAAGGCGAGGUCGGGGCCGUGGACGCCGAACGGGGUCGCGGUCACCACGGCCGCGGCGUCGCGACGGCGGGUGCGCGGGGACGGGGCUCGGCUCCGCGGGGCGUCCACGCGGCCGGCCAGGUCGGUGUCACAGAGGAUGCCGAGGUCGAGGGCGAGGACGUCGUUGUCAACAGGCUCGACGAAGAGGAAGGGGCGCGGCCGGGGCGGUGGCGCGGGGCGAAGCUUGACGUGGCAGGGUGGAGCUCGGUGCAGAGCGCCGCCGUGGGCAGCACGGCGUCGUGGACGAGGAGCUUGACGCGGCGGGCGGCUCCGGCGCUUGGUGAACUCGACGUCGGGGCGUCCACGGGCUCCGGGGGCGAGGUGCUCGGCGAAGUGGCUCGCACUGGUGCCCGGCGCGCGGCAUCGGUGGCUCUGUCGAUGGCGUCGCGGGGUCGAGGGCGAGGGCGCACGGCAUCCUGGGCGCGACGAGGUCGAGGGCGCGGACGCGUCGGGCGAGGUCGGUGAGGACGAGGCGGGGCGUCGCGACGGCGGCUCGGCGGGCAGCAAGGGAAGAGGAGACGGGGUGGCAGCGUCAAGGGAGAGCAGAAGGCGGCGUCGGCGAUUUAUAGGCGUCGAGACUAGGGCUCCUAGGGUAGGGCGUCGAUCCUCGACGUCCGUGUCCGCAGCCGGACACGCGGCGCGGAUCAAGCGGGUGGGCACGGACGCCUAGGGCGCGAGGGGCUCGUGCGGGCGCUUGUCCAUGGCGGCGGCGUCGGGGAAGGCUGGGGGCGCGCGGCUUCCUUCGCUAGGGUUGGGGCGCAGGGGAGGCUCGCGGCUGGGCCUUGGCUGCUGCGCGGGCCGAGUUCUGGGCCGCAGAGGGGAAGGGAGGCCAAGCUGGGCUGACCGGCUGCUACGCAGGGGAGAAGGGAGGGAGGUGGGCCGACGCUGCGAGUUGGGCCAGGGCGAGGUCAGGCUGGGUCGCGCGCGCGGGUUGGCGCUGGGUCACGGGCCGGGAUGGCCAGCUAGGCUGCGCGCAGGGGCAGAGGGGAAGGGAACCUAGGCUGGGCCGAGGGAAGGAGGAAGAGGAAGUCAGGGGAAAAGAAAAGAAUUGGCCCAUGAAAGGAGAAGGGUUUUCCAUUUACGAAAUUGACUCAAGGGCUUUGAGGGAAAAUUAAAAAGGAUAUGUAGGGCAUUCGAGAGAGAACUCAAAAAGAGAUUGAGAUGGGUUUCCAUGAACUUAAGAUAGAUUUAGCGGUGGAGAUUUAGUGAUGAGAUCAACGAGAGAAAAUGUUUGAGAAGAGAAUUUUGAAAAAGAGUUCAAAAAGGAUUAAAGGAGUUUGAGACGUACUCCAACCGAAAGAUUGAGAAGGGAUUCGCUUCACCCUUGAGAUAGGCUCAACGGAGAUUGGGGAGUACUUGCUACAGAUUUGUGCACUCCAAAAGAAACUCAAAACCCUAAACAAGACUAAACUCCAAACCGACUCACGAACAAAGGCACUCACCUAGAAACAAAUCUAUAUGUAUGCCACGAUUUGUUAGCGGGUUAGGAUCGAUUUAGAUCUAAAAACUAUAUGCUUCACAAGAUUACAAGAAAAAUUUUAAAAAGCUCGUAUUUUUGGUUUACGUAAAAAUCUAGGAUGUUACACUCCUUCCCCAAGUAAGAUGUUUGUUGGGUAUUUUAAACGCAAACAGAAAAAUCCGCAAGCGCACGGAUACCGAUGUAGCUUUCACCCGGGAGUAUUCCAGAGUAUCGAUUUUCCACAGAGAACGUGAGUGUACUAAUUAAGAUCCAAGAUCGCCCAAGGAUAACUAUAUAAUUAUUUUUUUGGUGGAAGAGAGGAAGUUUCCUGAGAGUUCUCUAGUUGAUCUAAGAAUCAAGAAUUACUUCAAGAUUAUCUAUAUCAGGACAUCAGAGCACUAACCACAGAAAGAGAUGAGAAGGGGGCUAGGAAGGUCUGACUACGGUCCUACAAACACCGAUCCGAACGUGGUGGAAUACGUCGACCGUUAGGGCUGUCACUACCCUAGGGCUACCACAACAAUCCGUAGGAUUGGGUGCAAUUCCAGGUAAUUGCAAGACUAAACACCACGUCUAAUCUAUUAAUUACUACUCUAGCGUUAUAAAGACUAGAGCACUUGAUGCAAGCGGGAAUCCAAUAAAUAACUUGAAUGUAAAUAAAAGUAAUUAAAGAACUCAGGAAUUAUGAAUUGAAGAACCUGGAGAACGAUGAAGAACGAACCAGAUGCUGCAAAAGUAUAAUGUUGAGGAAGAUCCGACAGAUCCGGCUCCUCCUCUGCUCUCCUCUUCUCUCUCCCUAUUUUCUAGAUUACAACUAGAACUAACUAGAACUAGAACUAGAGGAACUAGAACUAGAACUAGAUGAACUAGAACUAGAUCUAGAUGAACUAGAGGUAGAACUAGAAGAACUAGAGGGAUCCUCUCUACUUGGAUGAAGAAUUGAAACCCUAGCUUUGAUUCUGUAGAAGAGGUAUGCCUCCAGGGGCUGGUGGGGGUCUGCUUAUAUAGUCCAGGAAGAGUAGCCCCCAAGAAAUCUAGGAAGAGUAGCCCCCAAGAAAUCUAGGAAGAGUAGCUCCCAAGGAAUUUCCACGUUAUUCUCCACCAUCCGAUCAAACCGACCUUCAUCGUGUGAUUUUCCUCGAUCCUUAGAGUCGGUGGAGCAUAAUCCCCGAGACUCGUGCUGAUUGGCCAGUAGAGGAGGGCGGGCGCCCUGCCUCUGGGCCCGCUCGGCCUCCCGUUCUUUCCCGUGGCUUCUGGAGUCUUCUAGAUGAUAGAAAAUUGCGCGGCACGUUAAUAUCUCUACGUAAUCCCGACGUGUGGGCCUUUCUUCCAUAUUUCCUGAUAACCCCCUGCAAAAAUAGACAAACACCAAAACUCGUAGAAUUCUGUCAGAUAAAACCCUAAGUCUGGGUGUUGGUUGCAUUUGGAUCCUUUUCCAUGAUUAAUUGAUGGUUAAAUGUGAGCAUUAAGGACCGUCAACAAGCUCCCCCAAGCUUAACCUUUGCUCGUCCCUGAGCAAAGCUAAAAUCAUCAAGAAAACAGGGGUUACUUUUAUGCCUUUUACUAAAGGGGUUUUAAGUUAUCACUAAGGUCUUAAGUGAUUGAAAAACAGAAUGAUCAAGUCAAGCACUAUGUCUCAAGUUCUUCUGUCUUACCUUUGUUCUGGAGUUGUUUGUAAGUUUUCAAAAUAAAUCUGAGGCAUUUGCCUUCUUCUCGAAAGAUAUAUAAGUAGAGCUUUAAAAAUUUUAGCAUACUUACUUUGCAUUUUGCUAUGUCAAUGCUCGGAGCAAGGGAGAGGAAUGUCAUACUCCUAAAUCAAGACCUUUGACCUUUUUUGAAGAGUUUGUCAUCUCUUACUGGCAUAUUGCUUAUUAGAGGGACCAUGGGCUAUCAUUUUUUUCUUUUUUUUCUUCUUUUUUUAGUCUCUUUUUUUCAAGUGGGUAGCAAGUACCCCUAAUUCUACUGUCGGACACAUGUCCAUUUUUUUCCACUCAGGUGGGUAUCUUUGUACCCCUAAUUCUACUUCGGACACUUGUCCAUUUUUACCUCUCAUCUCACUCUUUUUUUUCGAAUCAAAUUUUUGCAUAGUCCCAUGCCUCUAACGCAAUAAUACUUCGGAAGAGUGAAUCUUUUAUAUUUUUUAAAACAAAAAGAUCUUGAUCUUGGGAGCAUGAUAAUUCUCUCAACCAAAACUACAAGAAUUAACAAUGGCUUGAACAAAGAAAGUACCCAUAGUUUUAAUAUUUAUUUCUUAUAAGACUCUAGGUAUUAUGAUCUCAUAUAUUUUUUUUAUGAACUUUUAGAUUUUCAAAAGAUAAAAUCUCCAGAACUCUAGCAAAACUUGGAACAAGUUAAAUAGUAGCUCAGACCUUCUCAAACUAUUAUAUAUUACUCAAAACAAAAACUGUGUUUGGUUUCAUGGUUAUGCAUUUUUUUUAUUUCCGAAUACUAGUAAAUAAAACUAAGAAAGAAAAAUAAUACUUAUCUUGAUUUAUUUUUUUAUUUAGCAAACUAAGCAAAGAUAUAUAUAUAUAUAAGCAUAAAAUCUUUAUUUGGGUUUUUAUGAUUAUGCAUCUUUUUAUUAAUUGAGUAAAGUAUAAACGUGAGUAGAACACUUAGCUGGAUAAAUGGGGGUGCUCUCCCCCAAGAUGGAUUUUGACAUAAUUUCUUCUGAUGUAGCUAGCAGGUGGCGGAGGUGUAUUUGAAUGUCGGCAGCACUCUGACAGCGAUUAGGAUGUCCUUCGUCUGCUAGUCUUCUUUGAUCUUUGAAUUCUAUGGAGCUCAAAUAGACAACAAAGCUUUGUGUUCUAGUUAAGUGUUAGCAUAAAUAUCUAGCCUUUAUCAUGUUGAGCCUCCUCAAUAAAUGUUACUCAUUAGUAGGAUCAUAAUUUUAUUUUUAUAAUUUUAUUUUUAUAGGACAGGAAUAUAUUUAUUUUAUUUUUAUGCCACCACAGUGAAUGUACUUAUGGGUUUUAUGCCAUGAGCAUACUCACAUGGGGCUUACUAUUUUAAACAUUUUUAUUUUCUUUUCAAGAUGAUAUGAACCUGCUUAACUAAAAUAAUUGAAAGGAAAAGAUAACUAGCAAGUUUACCUCUUGGCAAGGCGUUCGGUGUUUUUAAGUCCUCCGAACGAGACUCUCCAUUUUCUCAGUUGUCCUGAGAUUCGCUGGAUGGCGUAGUCGGUGGUUCCGGCGGUGCUUCCUCUUCGUGUAUAACUAUCUUCUCUCUCCACACCUGACUCGGUGCUACGGUCUCCUCAGGACAGUUCUGUUCAAGUUGUUUGUCUUCAGACCUUACCACUUCUCCAUCAUAGUCUACCCAUCCAUCCUUGAUGAUUUUGCCUUCUCUGGUUGCGGUUGCGUCAUCUCCUUCUUGUCCUGACCUGCUUAGAGUCUUCAACUAUACAGUUAGGGACAGUACAAUAGCGGCAUACCUUCUCAGAGGGGAAGUGCAUGUGGACUUCUCCGGUUCCAAUGUAGAUGAUUGCUUUAACGGUGCUGAGGAACAGUCUUCACAGGAUGAUGGGUGGAUCGUACUCGUUUUUUCCCAUGUUAAUAACCUAAAAAUCUUCAACCUUUCGGAAUGUCUGAUCUGCUAUCUGAAGUUGAAUGUAUGUCGGUUUUAGGGGCAUAGUUCCAUGCAGGAGCUGAUAAGUGACUGCGGCCAUUAUGUUGACGUCAGAUACGGUGUCGUAGAGUGUCUUCUGAAAAGAAUAUCCGUUGAUUGUGCACUCGAUGCUUGGAACACCAGGGUCGGCCUUCUUGAUCAAGAAAGGUGACUUGAGUUGACGAUCUUGACCUCCUUGAGCUGCAGUGACCAUCUUAGCUGACUUGGUGCACAUUUGCUUGUUCCCGUUCCUCCUGUUGGUCCUCUUUCUUGAUUCAUGUUGGGAUUGCUCUGAGAUUUGUGUAGUCUUGUUCUUGAAGGAAAACGUCUCCUUCCUCCCCUUGAUGUAGGAACUGGUAUUAGCAGUACUAGCGUAGAUGACAGCUCCCGAGGUGUUCAGGAAUGGCCUCCCUAGGAUGAUGGGUGCCCUCUCAUCAGAACCGGUCUCUAUCACCAUGAAGUUUGCUGGGGCGUACAAGGUACCAACUCGGACGCAAAGGUUCCUCAGCAUAAUGUUGACGCUGGAGCCAAAGUCGCAGAGUGCUUCUAGGAAGUCCACCAUGCCGAUGGAGAUCGGGAUGACGGGGCAUCCUGGGUUGUCUCUCUUGAGCGGCAGAAGGUCAGUAAUCACUUCCACAACGGGGUUACUCUAGUAGUUACGUCCUCAAGCAUCUCAGGGCAGUGAUUGCCUGAGUGUCCAGUAUCUCCAGUGUGUUUGUGCUCAUAGAUCUAAGUUCUUCACUUGGUGGAGUCUGGGAGUUGUAAAACUCCUUCACAUUUUGCUCGAAGUGUACCUGCUCAUAGAGACAAGGCAGAGAUCAAGUGCAUGGGCCCUGUUGGUGGAAAACACCAACAGAACCAAAAGUGUAUUUAUUCUUCUCUAACCUUAAGCAUAGUGAGCAAGACAAAGUUGAUGGAUAAUAAGAUCAUGAGUGUAGCAUUUAAAACAUUUGUCACAUCAGAUCGCUCAACCUAAUGGAAAGAUAAUUUAUCUAUACUUAUGUUUAUAUAUAUCUUCCAAAGAUUGAAUGUGCAACAUUUUAGUUCAUAUGAUUAGGAGUGUGGGAUCACAAAGGUGGAAGGACUAAACAUGUUGAAUCGAUUGGGUUGGUUAAUCUAGAGUUGUAAAUCAUACAUGUUUGUCUCUUUUAUUCAUGUAAACGCCAGAACCAAGGAGAAGCUUUAUAAAAGUGAUAGUCAAGUACCUUAAGAUGUUACCUUACUUGAAGAGUGAUGGUACAGUAUCACCUUGUGGAAGCUUUCCUUUCUUAGUGGUUGUGCAUCGUGUUUGUAGCACCCUCCAUGGAUCAUCUCUUGUGAGCUAUGCCUUCCUUGUGUAAAUUGUUAACCUUCAUGUGCUUCUCUCUUUGUCUCCAAUGUGAGUUUAUCUCAGGACUUCCCAGGUUGAUAUUGAAAGUUUUCCUGCAGGGGUUAGUCCAACAAAAUAUCCAAUAUCUACUAUAGCAUACUAUCGGCUCAAAGAUCAACCUAGACACCAUGUCUAAUUUGAUUUAGGAUUGCAUUUUAACUUAAGCAUCAUGCUUAAUUUAAAAUCCCUUGGAAGUAAGAUCAUCAUUCCUAACUAAGCACCAUGCUUAAUUAAGAGAUAAAUAAAACUACUCCAAACCUAAACAUAUACUAAAGCAAAUAAAGGUAGCAUGAGAGCAUUUAUAGAGAUCUACUCAAGUGGGGAUGUGUGAUUAGUAUUUAACAAAAUUGAGCAUGUCUCAAAGGUAGGGACUACCAACAUAGCAACAUGGCAAAGGAUGCUUUUAAUGUAAAGUACUCCCCCAAGCUUGAAUUUUGCAAAAUUCAAGUUUGGAUGAAUUUAAUUCAAUGUUGUAUGAUGAUUGGUUGGACAUACCUUGUGCUUGUCAUUCAUCCGAUCUUCUUGCUCCAAUCCUGGAAAGGUUAGUGACAAGAAUACCCGAAGGAAUAUUUUUACAAUUAUCCUUAUAUGCUCAACACACAAGGUAAUAUUGCAAAUAAUUCAAAGCUCAUGUUACGAUCUAAUCAGUGCUUAUUUUAGGACACUAAGCUUGUCCUUGGGAAACCAUCAAUUUAUGUCAGUGAAGUGGUUUCCCCUCCAACGCUGACCUAUAUCAAGAUCAACUCAACGAGAUCUGCAAAAUUUAUUAUAAACAUAUGCAUCGACAACCGCCCUUUUAAAGUUUUGGAGAGACCAAUGGAUUGUGAAGAUGGUGCAUAUGAGCAUGGAGUAAAUGAAGUGGCUAUGAAAUAAAUUCCAUGCUCAUUAAUGCUUAGAGUGAAAUCCAUGUGGUAUGGUGAAAAUGAUAAGGUGAGUGUGGUAAAAAAAGGAAAAGAAAAAGGAUACAUGGAUGACUUGGUUCGAAACUAGCACAGCUACUGUUCCCCGGCAAUGGCGCGAGAAAGCUUGUUGGGUAUUUUAAACGCAAACAGAAAAAUCCGCAAGCGCACGGAUACCGAUGUAGCUUUCACCCGGGAGUAUUCCAGAGUAUCGAUUUUCCACAGAGAACGUGAGUGUACUAAUUAAGAUCCAAGAUCGCCCAAGGAUAACUAUGUAAUUAUUUUUUUGGUGGGAAGAGAGGAAGUUUCCUGAGAGUUCUCUAGUUGAUCUAAGAAUCAAGAAUUACUUCAAGAUUAUCUAUAUCGGGACAUCAGAGCACUAACCACAGAAAGAGAUGAGAAGGGGGCUAGGAAGGUCUGACUACGGUCCUACAAACACCGAUCCGAACGUGGUGGAAUACGUCGACCGUUAGGGCUGUCACUACCCUAGGGCUACCACAAUAAUCCGUAGGAUUGGGUGCAAUUCCAGGUAAUCGCAAGACUAAACACCACGUCUAAUCUAUUAAUUACUACUCUAGCGUUAUAAAGACUAGAGCACUUGAUGCAAGCGGGAAUCCAAUAAAUAACUUGAAUGUAAAUAAAAGUAAUUAAAGAACUCAAGAAUUAUGAAUUGAAGAACCUGGAGAACGAUGAAGAACGAACCAGAUGCUGCAAAAGUAUAAUGUUGAGGAAGAUCCGACAGAUCCGGCUCCUCCUCUGCUCUCCUCUUCUCUCUCCCUAUUUUCUAGAUUACAACUAGAACUAACUAGAACUAGAACUAGAGGAACUAGAACUAGAACUAGAACUAGAUGAACUAGAACUAGAUCUAGAUGAACUAGAGGUAGAACUAGAAGAACUAGAGGGAUCCUCUCUACUUGGAUGAAGAAUUAAAACCCUAGCUUUGAUUCUGUAGAAGAGGUAUGCCUCCACGGGCUGGUGGGGGUCUGCUUAUAUAGUCCAGGAAGAGUAGCCCCCAAGAAAUCUAGGUAGAGUAGCCCCCAAGAAAUCUAGGAAGAGUAGCUCCCAAGGAAUUUCCACGUUAUUCUCCACCAUCCGAUCAAACCGACCUUCAUCGUGUGAUUUUCCUCGAUCCUUAGGGUCGGUGGAGCAUAAUCCCCGAGACUCGUGCUGAUUGGCCAGCAGAGGAGGGCGGGCGCCCAGGGGGGUAGGGAGGGCGCCCUGCCUCUAGGCCCGCUCGGCCUCCCGUUCGUUCCCGUGGCUUCUGGAGUCUUCUAGAUGAUAGAAAAUUGCGCGGCACGUUAAUAUCUCUACGUAAUCCCGACGUGUGGGCUUUUCUUCCAUAUUUCCUGAUAACCCCCUGCAAAAAUAGACAAACACCAAAACUCGUGGAAUUCUGUCACAUAAAACCCUAAGUCUGGGUGUUGGUUGCAUUUGGAUCCUUUUCCAUGAUUAAUUGAUGGUUAAAUGUGAGCAUUAAGGACCGUCAACAAUGUUGUCGUGGUCAAAUGUUGAGAAGUUGAGUGAUCCUUCUCAAAACAUGCUGCAAAAGGAUGUCCUUAUCCAUGACUAGAGUGAAAAUGACCAUAUAAUCUUGCUCUUGAUCAUAUGUGUCAUCCUUUUGGCCUCAAAGAUGGAGACCUUGAUGGUUUCAUCUCUUGUAAUGGUGAUUUUGAUGAUGGCGUCACCCUUGUUCUUUGUAUGCCCUUGUACUUUUCUUCACCAGCACGUUGAAGUAUGGCAUUAAUGGUGGAAGCUAGUGACAUCUUGCUUAGUGUGCAUGUUCAUAAGUUCAGAACUUUCACUUGUAGAAUUUUGGGGAAUUAACAAACUCCUCCAUAUUUUGCUUGAAGUGUGUCCUGCAUGUAAACAUAAGGUAGAGAUCAAGUGCAUGGGCCCUGUUGGUGGAAAAACACCAACUGAACCAUAACUCUUGUUUUCUUUUCUUUAUUCUUCUCUUAUCUCAGACACAUUGAAUAAUACAAAGCUAAUGUUGCAUAAUUUACUACUACUACUACUACUAGUUUCAAAGUUAGGAUAGGUUGUGAAGAUUGUGGUUAGCUAAAGCUCACACUCAUUUUGCUUCAUUUUUAUAAAACAUGGGUGUAGCUCAUAGCCAGGUGUUAGGAUAGGUUGUGAAGAUUGUGGUUAGCUAAAGCUCACACUCAUGCCAUAUAGACAGAUAGGAGCAAAAUUCAUAAAGAAAAAAUAAAAAACAAAAAUAAAGAAUAAAAGAUAAAAUGUUAAGCUAGUCUCAAAGUUAAUUCAGCAACUGUUUCCCUAGCAACAAUGUCAGAAAGCUUGUUGGUAUUUUAACGCACACAUAAUAAUCACAAAGAAUGAUCACAAGCACAUGGAUGUCAAUGUAGCUUUCACCUAGAGGUUUUAAAUAUUGUAUCCACAAGGAAACGUGUGAAACUAACUACAAUCUAACUCAACAAAAGGAGUGAUAACUAGGUAUAGGUGGAUGAUAACUAAGAGUAGCGAUAAGGUUAGGAUAAAUAGGAGCAUAGAAAGGAUAAAUAUGGGUUCUCUACUUCUAACUUGGGUAACUAUGUUUUUUAUUAUCCAACUUCGGCGCAUGUCUUAUAAAGAAUGUAUGAAAUUUAUUCUCUACAAGCACUAUAAAACCUAUCGGUCCUAUUAACGGGAUAGUGGACUACAGGGGACUCAAUGGGUCUAUCACACCCAUGAUGUACCAUAGAAAUCCAAAAAAUAGGGGAAGUUUAUGAUUAACCUAAGCCCAAGCACCAUGCCUACACAUAAGAUUAAUACUCUACUCCCUCUAGUGCAGGAAUAAAGCACUCAAAACAGUACCUAACAAUUCAACAAUAUAAAUAAAGUAAACUUAGAUCAAAAGUUGAUUACCAGAGAAAUCUCAAAGAUAAACUCAAGUAGAACUUAGAUCCACUAAAGUACAAGUCGUAGAGGGAGCACUAACAGGUCGGCACCUCCUCCAAACUCUUCCCUCACUCUCUAUCUCUCUAUUUCUAUUCAUAAGACUAGAUCCUAUGGAGAUCUAAUAUUCUCUUGAUGGCUAGCUCUAGGAGGUAGAUCCAUUCAUGGGACCCCUCUUUUGAUGCUAACAGAAGAAUAUGAACUAGGGUUUUGGCACUACCCCCGGGAGGGGGCGAGGGGUCAGAUUAUAUAGCCCGGUGGGAUGAUUAUGAGCCCUUAGAUCAAACUAACUUAAGGGAUGGCUUAGAUGCAUCCUUGGAGGUGGUGGGGGAAGCUUCCAAAAGCUAGAGGUGAGAGAGUGGCAUGCUAGGCCGGCUGGCCCUAGGCCUAGGCUAGUCGGCCCACUUUGGUGGCCAUUUGGGCCCAUAUUUGGUAGUUCAUCUUCUAUUGCCUUCUAGAGUAUUCUCAUGUAUGUACCAUGGUGGAAUUCCAUCAUUUAUUUUAAAAAUAGAUCCCUCUAGAUAAAUCCUGUAGAAAAUAAUAAUUCACCAAAAAUUGUGGAAUUUAUUAGUUU